This 612-nucleotide ribosomal RNA is filed under the name Salmonella enterica subsp. enterica serovar Enteritidis. Its description in RNAcentral is "partial 23S ribosomal RNA". It matches the Rfam family "Bacterial large subunit ribosomal RNA", at positions 605 to 1218 of the family's 2925-position model. The record is from RNAcentral. Lineage: Bacteria; Pseudomonadati; Pseudomonadota; Gammaproteobacteria; Enterobacterales; Enterobacteriaceae.
CUUUUGUAUAAUGGGUCAGCGACUUAUAUUCUGUAGCAAGGUUAACCGAAUAGGGGAGCCGGAGGGAAACCGAGUCUUAAUUGGGCGUUAAGUUGCAGGGUAUAGACCCGAAACCCGGUGAUCUAGCCAUGGGCAGGUUGAAGGUUGGGUAACACUAACUGGAGGACCGAACCGACUAAUGUUGAAAAAUUAGCGGAUGACCUGUGGCUGGGGGUGAAAGGCCAAUCAAACCGGGAGAUAGCUGGUUCUCCCCGAAAGCUAUUUAGGUAGCGCCUCGUGAAUUCAUCUCCGGGGGUAGAGCACUGUUUCGGCUAGGGGGCCAUCCCGGCUUACCAACCCGAUGCAAACUGCGAAUACCGGAGAAUGUUAUCACGGGAGACACACGGCGGGUGCUAACGUCCGUCGUGAAGAGGGAAACAACCCAGACCGCCAGCUAAGGUCCCAAAGUCAUGGUUAAGUGGGAAACGAUGUGGGAAGGCCCAGACAGCCAGGAUGUUGGCUUAGAAGCAGCCAUCAUUUAAAGAAAGCGUAAUAGCUCACUGGUCGAGUCGGCCUGCGCGGAAGAUGUAACGGGGCUAAACCAUGCACCGAAGCUGCGGCAGCGACACUGUG